CCUACGGGAGGCAGCAGUGAGGAAUAUUGGUCAAUGGACGAGAGUCUGAACCAGCCAAGUAGCGUGAAGGAUGACUGCCCUAUGGGUUGUAAACUUCUUUUAUAAAGGAAUAAAACGAGGCACGUGUGCCUUUUUGCAUGUACUUUAUGAAUAAGGAUCGGCUAACUCCGUGCCAGCAGCCGCGGUAAUACGGAGGAUCCGAGGGUUAUCCGGAUUGAUUGGGUUUAAAGGGAGCGUAGAUGGGUUGUUAAGUCAGUUGUGAAAGUUUGCGGCUCAACCGUAAAAUUGCAAUUGAUACUGGCAGUCUUGAGUACAGUUGAGGUAGGCGGAAUUCGUGGGGUAGCGGUGAAAUGCUUAGAUAUUACGAAGAACCCAGAGUGCGAAGGCAGCUUACUAAACUGUGACUGACAUUGAUGCUCGAAAGUGUGGGUAUCAAACAGGAUUAGAUACCCCAGUAGUC
This 460-nucleotide ribosomal RNA is filed under the name uncultured bacterium. Its description in RNAcentral is "partial 16S ribosomal RNA". It matches the Rfam family "Bacterial small subunit ribosomal RNA", at positions 338 to 795 of the family's 1533-position model. The record is from RNAcentral.